UCGCGAAACCUUCACACUGGGGGAAACCCUGAUGAGGGAAUUCCUAGUGCCUGCAUUUUUUGUAGGCUUUUAUCUAGUGUAGAUAGCUAGAAGAAUAAGGGCCGGGUAAGACGGGUGCCAGCCGCCGCGGUAAUACCCGCGGCCCAAGUGGUGGUCGAUAUUAUUGAGUCUAAAACGUCCGUAGCCGGUUCAGUAAAUCUUUGGGUAAAUCGGCCAGCUUAACUGACCGAAUUCCGAAGAGACUGCUGAACUUGGGACCGGGAGAGGCCAGAGGUACUUCUGGGGUAGGGGUAAAAUCCUGUAAUCCUAGAAGGACCACCGGUGGCGAAGGCGUCUGGCUAGAACGGAUCCGACGGUGAGGGACGAAGCCCUGGGGCGCAAACGGGAUUAGAUACCCCGGUAGUCCAGGGUGUAAACGCUGCAGGCUUGGUGUUGGGGGUCCUUCGGGGGCGCCCAGUGCCGGGGAGAAGUUGUUAAGCCUGCUACUUGGGGAGUACGUCCGCAAGGAUGAAACUUAAAGGAAUUGGCGGGGGAGCACCGCAACGGGAGGAGCGCGCGGUUUAAUUGGAUUCAACACCGGAAAACUCACCAGGAGCGACGGUUACAUGAAAGUCAGGCUGAUGACCUUACUAGAUUUUCC
Molecule: ribosomal RNA, 640 nt
Filed under: uncultured euryarchaeote
Lineage: Archaea; Methanobacteriati; Methanobacteriota
Description: bacterial SSU rRNA
Rfam family: Archaeal small subunit ribosomal RNA
Source: RNAcentral